GACGAACGCUGGCGGCGUGCCUAAUACAUGCAAGUUGAGCGCUGAAGGUUGGUACUUGUACCAACUGGAUGAGCAGCGAACGGGUGAGUAACGCGUGGGGAAUCUGCCUUUGAGCGGGGGACAACAUUUGGAAACGAAUGCUAAUACCGCAUAAAAACUUUAAACACAAGUUUUAAGUUUGAAAGAUGCAAUUGCAUCACUCAAAGAUGAUCCCGCGUUGUAUUAGCUAGUUGGUGAGGUAAAGGCUCACCAAGGCGAUGAUACAUAGCCGACCUGAGAGGGUGAUCGGCCACAUUGGGACUGAGACACGGCCCAAACUCCUACGGGAGGCAGCAGUAGGGAAUCUUCGGCAAUGGACGAAAGUCUGACCGAGCAACGCCGCGUGAGUGCAGAAGGUUUUCGGAUCGGAAAACUCUGUUGGUAGAGAAGAACGUUGGUGAGAGUGGAAAGCUCAUCAAGUGACGGUAACUACCCAGAAAGGGACGGCUAACUACGUG
This 497-nucleotide ribosomal RNA is filed under the name uncultured bacterium. RNAcentral describes it as "partial 16S ribosomal RNA". It matches the Rfam family "Bacterial small subunit ribosomal RNA", at positions 28 to 507 of the family's 1533-position model. The record is from RNAcentral.